This 319-nucleotide long non-coding RNA is filed under the name Androctonus crassicauda. Lineage: Eukaryota; Metazoa; Arthropoda; Arachnida; Scorpiones; Buthidae. The record is from RNAcentral.
UCUUUGCAUGUGUGCUGUUUUUGAAUCGAUUCAUUGAACAUUAAAUGGUGACAAAAAUGAAAAAAAUAAAUUAUUUUACCGUUAAAGAUUGUAAUAAUGGCAAUAGUGAUCAGCUUAACAAAUCAAAACGUGUGAAACGACUCAGCAGGUUCUAUCUGAAAAAAAUGUCAGUGAACAGCAUAUGUGAAGCAAGGGAAGUGUUGAUGUUAAACAAAGAACAGUUAUCCCAAAAACGUUCUGUGAAUGGAAAGAAAGUUAUUCUUGACUCCUGUAUGACACAGUGACCAAAACAAUGAAAUGUUCUUUGUGCCUCCAGUAU